Molecule: unclassified non-coding RNA, 3138 nt
Filed under: Amphibalanus amphitrite
Lineage: Eukaryota; Metazoa; Arthropoda; Thecostraca; Balanomorpha; Balanidae
Description: uncharacterized protein K02A2.6-like, transcript variant X1
Source: RNAcentral
GGCUCAGUAUUGCGGAUCCUGCGCAUUUCUCUGAGGUAGCGGGCUCUUGCAGCCCGCACGUACGGGCGCUCUGUUGUAGACGGCCGAAUACGGUACGGGGGACCGGCGCGCGGGAGCGGGCCGCGGCGGCUGUGCCGUCGAUGCUCCGCCCUAAUCACGUGAUUGCCUGGAGGUGUGUGUCGGCCGACCCCGGGUCGGCCGGCCGGGAGAAUACAGUUCAUGCCGAGAGACGAGCGUGUGUGGCUCUGGUGGCGGGGAUAACAUUGGCGACGAGGAUGAGAUCCGCAAGAUGCCACUCGGCCGGUUGGAAGUUUUUGAAGCAGCAGAAGACAACUGGGAGGAGUACAUCGAACGGUUGGUCCAAUUUUUUGUUGCAAACGAGAUAGAGGAGGAUGUAAAGAAAAGGGCUAUUUUGUUGAGCAACGUGGGAGCCCGAACCUAUGGCGUCUUGCGUUCACUUUUGUCCCCGGUGAGACCCGAUGAGGUUUCAUAUGACCACAUCGUGAAUGUAUUGAGAGAGCACUUCCAUCCGCGACCGUCGGUCACUGUGGCGCGGUUCAGAUUUUUCUCGUGCUCCCGUAGUAUAAAUGAACCGGUGCAAGACUAUAUAGCCCGACUGAAACAGCUGUCACGGGAUUGUCAGUUUGGCUCGUUUUUGGAAGAAAUGAUUCGUGAUCGGCUAGUGUGCGGAAUCAAUUCGGAUUUGAUUCAGAGCCGUCUGCUGUCGGAGCCUGAAUUAUCGUUACAGAAGGCGACUGAAAUGGCCGUGGCGCUGGAGACAGCCAGCCGGAACCAGCAGGAGCUGGCAGGAGGACCUCGGGUUGGACAGCCACCGACCGAGCCAGCGGUGCAACGCAUCCACACAUCGGAGUCGCGGCCGCCACACGGACGGGGGAGCCGUGAAAACUCAAGUAAGCCCAAGUUUUCUGAUUCUGAGGCUAAUAAGUGCUGGCGCUGCUUGAGUAGCAAACAUUCAGAGUCUGAGUGUUUUUUCAAACGCAAGCGUUGUUUUCGUUGUUCCAAAUAUGGUCAUACAAGUGCCGCUCAUAGAGCAGGAACCGUGAACAGUCUCGGAGAUGUGCCUCACCAAUCUGACGAGGUGACUGUUGAAGAUGGUGAGCCCGGGCCGGAGGACACUGUGGUGGGAGACCUGUUCACCUUCUCAGCUGGACUGAGCAGAGGUCGACCUCCGAUCCUGCUGGACGUGACGCUGAAUGGGAAGCAGGUCCAGAUGGAACUGGACACUGGAGCGUCGGUGUCUGUCUGCUCCUACGGUAGGUUCAAAGAACUCUGGCCGACUGGUGACCGGUUGUUACGGCCCACAGACAUUCUCCUGCGCACUUUUUCUGGAGAAAAGCUGGUGGUAAGAGGUGAGGUGAUACUUGAUGUGGGUUAUCAAGGAUCAACGUACCAACUACCUCUGGUGAUCCUGGAAGGAAGGGGGCCAUUGCUGUUUGGAAGAAAUUGGCUGCAUCAGAUUCGGCUAAAUUGGCAGAGCAUUUGUACGGUGUCCAGUAAAACUGAUGUCGAGGCGGUGGUGGACAAGUUUCCGGAGCUUUUCCAGGACGACUUGGGGUGUGCUCGAGAUGCUGAGGUCAGCAUCCCAGUGGACGAGUCUGCAUCACCGAUCUUCUACAAGCCCAGGACGGUGCCGCUGGCGUACAAGGCUCAGGUGGAUGCUGAGUUGGAGCGGCAGCUGAAGGCUGGACUUCUGGUACCUGUGAAGUGGAACAGCUGGGCGGCUCCCAUCGUGGCAGUGCCGAAGGCUUCAGGUGAGCUCAGAAUCUGUGGUGAUUACAGAUUAACCGUAAACCGGGUUACACCGGUGGAGCAAUAUCCGCUGCCUAAGGCUGAGGAACUGUUCACAAAGUUCCAGGGAGCUACAGUUUUCAGUCAGCUUGACCUUAAAAGUGCGUACAAUCAACUGCCAUUGUGUGCAAAAAGUCGUCAGUACUUGGCAAUAAACACGCACAAGGGGAUACUUGUCCCGACCCGUCUGGGAUAUGGGUACGCGUCAGCCCCCGCAGUGUUCCAGCGGUACAUGGACACCCUGUUGACUGGGAUAGCAGGAGUGGGAGUGUUCCUUGACGAUGUGGUUGUUUCUGGCAAGAACCCACAGGAACACAACGCAGCGCUGGAGGAGGUUCUCCGGCGCCUGUCAGAGGCCAACCUGAGGCUACAGCGACGCAAGUGCCGGUUCGGGAUGAAGUCGGUGAUCUAUUUGGGACAUCACAUCGGGUCAGAAGGGAUAAAGCCAACGGCGGAAAAGAUGCCUGCGAGCUGCCGACGCCUGCUGAGACGGUGCAUCUUAUGGAGUUCGUGGACUCGACUCCAGUGACGGCGAGCUGCAUUCGGACCUUCACCGCCCGGGACCCGGUGCUGAGCGUCGUCCUGCAGUACACCCGAGACGGAUGGCCGACCAGCGGACUCUUGAACCCGGAACUGGUACAGUUUCGACGCAGAGAAGGUGGCGGGCCUGGCGGGCGUCGACCGUUCCACCCGGUGGCUGCGUGGGAGCUGCAUCGGUCGGAGUGGCUCCAAGCUGACGGUGCGACUGACUGACGGCCGGGUGAUACAGCGCCACCUGGACCAGGUGGUCGCCGAUCAGGCCGGCGGGACGCGGCGGGACGGCGGCGCAGACGGGCUGGACGCAGGUGAAGCCGUGACGGUGGACCCCACCGCUGCCGCUGUACCGCUGGUGACACCGUCGGCGGCGUCGGCGGCCCGAGUCGCUGCCGGCGGGGCCGCGCUGGAGGUCGGGCCGACGCCGGCUGGCUCCGGCGCACCGAUGGAUGCUGCGUCUGUGGAGCCUGCUGCUGACCCGGCGACUGACGUGCCUGGGACGACGGGCACCGCAGCUGGGGACGGCGAGGCGCCGGCGGGCGCGGCGGCUGGGGACGACGAUGCUUCGGCACAGUCGCGCUACAACCUACGGCCGCGUAAACCGCCUGUUGUCAAAACGGGAUGUUUUGAUUCGGGUGGGAGGGAUGUUGUAGACGGCCGAAUACGGUACGGGGACCGGCGCGCGGGAGCGGGCCGCGGCGGCUGUGCCGUCGAUGCUCCGCCCUAAUCACGUGAUUGCCUGGAGGUGUGUGUCGGCCGACCCCGGGUCGGGAGAAUACAGUUCAUGCCGAGAGA